This 449-nucleotide ribosomal RNA is filed under the name uncultured bacterium. Its description in RNAcentral is "partial 16S ribosomal RNA". It matches the Rfam family "Bacterial small subunit ribosomal RNA", at positions 29 to 523 of the family's 1533-position model. The record is from RNAcentral.
AGCGAACGCUGGCGGCAGGCUUAACACAUGCAAGUCGAACGGGCCCUUCGGGGUUAGUGGCGGACGGGUGAGUAACACGUGGGAACGUGCCCUUAGGUUCGGAACAACACAGGGAAACUUGUGCUAAUACCGGAUGUGCCCUUCGGGGGUAAGAUUUAUCGCCUUUGGAGCGGCCCGCGUCUGAUUAGCUAGUUGGUGAGGUAAAGGCUCACCAAGGCGACGAUCAGUAGCUGGUCUGAGAGGAUGGCCAGCCACAUUGGGACUGAGACACGGCACGAACUACUACGGGAGGCAGCAGUGGGGAAUCUUGCGCAAUGGGCGAAAGCCUGACGCAGCCAUGCAGCGUGGAUGAUGAAGGUCUUAGGAUUGUAAAAUCCUUUCAGCGGGGACGAUAAUGACGGUACCCGCAGAAGAAGCCCCGGCUAACUUCGUGCCAGCCGCCGCCGUAA